GGAACGUUCUCGCGCAGUUGGUGCCACUGCCCUUUCAUGGUGGCGAAGAAGUUGUAGACCACGGUCCACACUGGGAUCAGCAGCAUCAAUGAGAACGCAAUCGCGAUGGUUUGCAGCCAUUGCGAAAUCGGCCCGUGCAACAUGUGGUGGGCGCCGGUCCAGACGUAGACAAACGCGAGCGACCAGAACCCGAUCAUCGACAGUUUGUGGCUGUAGAGCGGCGUGUUCGACGCCUUGGGGAUGAAGUAGUAGGCCAUCGCGAGACCGAUAGCGCACAAGUA
Molecule: ribosomal RNA, 281 nt
Filed under: uncultured eukaryote
Lineage: Eukaryota
Description: partial large subunit ribosomal RNA
Source: RNAcentral